AUUGAACGCUGGCGGCAGGCUUAACACAUGCAAGUCGAGCGGGGGAAGGUAGCUUGCUACCGGACCUCGCGGCGGACGGGUGAGUAAUGCUUAGGAAUCUGACGAUUAGUGGGGGACAACAUCUCGAAAGGGGUGAUAAUACCGCAUACGUCCUACGGGAGAAAGAAGGGGAUCUUCGAACCUUGCGCAACUAGAUGAGCCUAAGUCGGAUUAGCUAGGUGGUGGGGUAAAGGCCUACCAAGGCGACGAUCUGUAGCGGGUCUGAGAGGAUGAUCCGCCACACUGGUACUGAGACACGGCCCAGACUCCUACGGGAGGCAGCAGGGGGGAAUAUUGGACAAGGGGGGAACCCUGAUCCAGCCAUGCCGCGUGUGGGAAGAAGGCCUUAUGGUUGUAAAGCACUUUAAGCGAGGAGGAGGCUACUCUAGUUAAUACCUAGGGAUAGUGGACGUUACUCGCAGAAUAAUCACCGGCUAACUCUGUGCCAGCAGCCGCAGUAA
This 500-nucleotide ribosomal RNA is filed under the name uncultured bacterium. RNAcentral's name for it is "partial 16S ribosomal RNA". It matches the Rfam family "Bacterial small subunit ribosomal RNA", at positions 30 to 523 of the family's 1533-position model. The record is from RNAcentral.